GCCCAAAAAAUAAAUAAAUAUCUCUCUCUUUUUUCUUCUUUUGGAAAAAAACUCCUGUUGCCAUAAGCCCAUAAUAACAAUAAUAAUAACAAAACCCUACUCUUACCUCCUAAACAAUCACCCAAAUCUUCUUUUCUUAUCAAACUUUAAGUCCAAACAACUAGUUUCUUUCAAGGCGGUUACAAAGAUCUGUUUAGAGAAGUUCUGUUUCCUAGGCCUUGUUUAGAUGUGAAAAGAUUUUGGAUUUUACUACUGUAGCAU
RNAcentral lists this long non-coding RNA (261 nucleotides) under Sorghum bicolor (sorghum). RNAcentral describes it as "long non-coding RNA (SBIC_LNC015149)". Lineage: Eukaryota; Viridiplantae; Streptophyta; Magnoliopsida; Poales; Poaceae. The record is from RNAcentral.